UACGGAGGGUGCAAGCAUUAAUCGGAUUUAUUGGGCGUAAAGAGCGCGUAGGCGGGAAAGAAAGUCAGAUGUGAAAUCCCGGGGCUCAACCUCGGAACUGCAUUUGAAACUCCUUUUCUGGAGGGUAGACGGAGAAAGCGGAAUUCCACAAGUAGCGGUGAAAUGCGUAGAUAUGUGGAAGAACACCAGUGGCGAAGGCGGCUUUCUAGUUUACACCUGACGCUGAGGCGCGAAAGCAAGGGGAGCAAACAGG
Molecule: ribosomal RNA, 253 nt
Filed under: uncultured bacterium
Lineage: Bacteria
Description: partial 16S ribosomal RNA
Rfam family: Bacterial small subunit ribosomal RNA
Source: RNAcentral